GAGAAGAGACAGGACAAAGGCUGGGAAAAGGCAGAGCAAGAAUGUAGCUAUUGACAGAAAUGGUGAAGUGAGAAUGAGAGGAGAGAGAUAUCUGUUGUGGCUACGCUCAUGCACUGCCUCUUCCCUGGCUCUCUCUCUUUCUUGUUCC
This 148-nucleotide microRNA precursor is filed under the name Phaseolus vulgaris (common bean). RNAcentral describes it as "pre miRNA MIR408". It matches the Rfam family "MIR408 microRNA precursor family". Lineage: Eukaryota; Viridiplantae; Streptophyta; Magnoliopsida; Fabales; Fabaceae. The record is from RNAcentral.